AAAACUAGCCAGUCUUUUGGGUAUGAAACCCAUUUGGGUGAGAGUAGUACUAGGAUGGGUGACCUCCUGGGAAGUCCUCAUGAAAGGGUUUC
Molecule: non-coding RNA, 92 nt
Organism: Triticum aestivum (bread wheat)
Lineage: Eukaryota; Viridiplantae; Streptophyta; Magnoliopsida; Poales; Poaceae
Source: Rfam